Molecule: ribosomal RNA, 542 nt
Filed under: uncultured bacterium
Lineage: Bacteria
Description: bacterial SSU rRNA
Rfam family: Bacterial small subunit ribosomal RNA
Source: RNAcentral
GGAGCAUGUGGUUUAAUUCGAAGCAACGCGCAGAACCUUACCUACCCUUGACAUGCCCGGCUAUAUCCAGAGAUGGAUAGUUCCUUCGGGACCGGUGCACAGGUGCUGCAUGGCUGUCGUCAGCUCGUGUCGUGAGAUGUUGGGUUAAGUCCCGCAACGAGCGCAACCCUUAUCCUUAGUUGCCAUCACGUUUGGGUGGGCACUCUAGGGAAACUGCCGGUGCUAAGCCGGAGGAAGGCGGGGAUGACGUCAAGUCCUCAUGGCCCUUACGGGUAGGGCUACACACGUGCUACAAUGGCAGUGACAAUGGGAUAAUCCCCAAAAGCUGUCUCAGUUCGGAUUGUCGGCUGCAACUCGCCGGCAUGAAGUUGGAAUCGCUAGUAAUCGUGGAACAGCAUGCCACGGUGAAUACGUUCCCGGGCCUUGUACACACCGCCCGUCACAUCAUGGGAGUUGGUUCUACCCGAAGACUGUGUGCUAACUUCGGAGGCAGCAGGCCACGGUAGGAUCAGCGACUGGGAUGAAGUCGUAACAAGGUAACC